UCAAGAAUCGUGUGACUGAUUUUAUGCAUUUUAUCUUGGAUUAACAGGAUGAACGUGAGAUAAAGAGACAUAAGAGGAAUUAAUCUAACAGAGAGUCUGCUUGGAGAUCAAGAUUACGAAAGCAGGAUGCAUCAGACUCUUGGGGUAUUUCUGUAGGCUUUAUCAGCAUCAUAUUGCUACCAAUAGUCGGGAAUGCAGCAGAACAUACUGGAUCAGUCAUAUUUGCAUUGGAAAACAAGGUGGCACAUGCACAUUCCUGAUAACCACUUUGUUAAUAACCACUUGGUCAUAACCCUGACAAUUUUGGGAUUAAACAGGAUAUAUCUUUGGGUGUCUCUCUCGGGUCUGCUACACAAAUUUCAGCGUUUGUGAUUCCCCUAUGUGAUAUUGUCAGGUGGAUCAUGGGAGUCCCCAUGAAUCUUGAUUUCGGACGCCUCCAAUCUGCUUCCCUUGCUUUUGCAAUUGUUCUGACAUCCUUGACGGAUGGGACCCAGCAUUACUUAAUUGGAGUGGUACUGUGUCUUGCCUAUGUAGUGCUUGCCGCCUGUUUCAAUGUUAGCCACGGUACACGUACAAAACUCUACCACAAUUUAUUAUUAGACUCCGUAGUAGGUCGCGUUAUAAUCCUAAACCAGACGGUCAGUGCUACAUCCCUGCUCAUAAGUGGAUUUUUCUGAUAUCGUAGAUUCUCCAUCAGGACAUGCCACCUUAUAGAAGAGAUAGUAUCAGCUUGAAAUUUUGAGUGCCAAUAACCAGAAUUCACAUCUUUUACCAGUAAUAUCAGUCUGACAACUUCCAUUGCUAAUUUUGCCUCUGCCAGGCUCUAUUCCAAGAAAAAUGCUAUUACAAGACACUAUAACAAGAUAAUUCACAUACAAUCCUAGACUGUUGUUCUUCAUUUCGUGUACACUGGAAUCCUAGAUAAAAUUGGACAUCAUUGUUCUAUAUAAUAAUAGAAACAAGUUUAGGAUCAAACCAUGAUGUUCAAGAAGGUGAUAUAUCAAACCAUGAUGUUCAAGAAGGUUAUAUAUCAGUAUUACCCAUGUUUUAAGAAUUUUAUAUUAUUUGUUAGAUUUAUGAGUUAUUAAUUCUAAACUUAUAGAAUCACAGAGAUGUGGUUAUCGUUAUGCACUCGAUGCCUAUUUGCAUCAACACAUAGUGAAUUUGCAUAAUCAUGGCGAUGGCUACUUAUUCUCCGGUGUGUGAUCCACUUCUCAUACAUGGUAGUCAAUCCAUAAUUAAGUAGUGCACGCAUUGAUGUUUGUUAACAAAUUUCACAGGAGCACCUGCCAGAGACGAUCAACGCGUGAAUAAGGAGCAUAGCAGACCUUCACAGGUUGGCUAUUUCAUACACAAGGCACGGGUAAAUCGACAAAGUUUCUUUGAUGUUGCUUUUCAUUCUUCACGUCCAAAGUUACGUUGAUCAGUUCAUGCAUUUAUAUAUUUUUUGCAACAGGCAUGACUUCUGAUCCUGAUGUGAACACAGCAAUUGGAUCCAGAAUUUCUCAGACAUCUAAUUACAAUGCUGAUAUUCAAGAAACCCCGUGGUUCAUGGAAAUUCGAUUUUGUUUCUCCGUUCAUAAAGGACUGGUCAGAAUAUUCAUUUGCUAAAAACUUAACAUUCCAGUUACCAGCUUCCUACGAUGAGUUAUAAUUCAUCUGGCAGUGGUAUCGAAUAUAACAAGAUGCUUAAUUUGCUAAAAACAUAAAUAGAUA
Long non-coding RNA from Daucus carota subsp. sativus, 1716 nucleotides. RefSeq lists it as uncharacterized. The transcript is spliced from 7 exons. The record is from RefSeq and is a predicted model, not a curated record. NCBI's taxonomy places the organism in Eukaryota, Viridiplantae, Streptophyta, Magnoliopsida, Apiales, Apiaceae.